RNAcentral lists this ribosomal RNA (468 nucleotides) under uncultured bacterium. RNAcentral describes it as "partial 16S ribosomal RNA". It matches the Rfam family "Bacterial small subunit ribosomal RNA", at positions 28 to 507 of the family's 1533-position model. The record is from RNAcentral.
GACGAACGCUGGCGGCGUGCUUAACACAUGCAAGUCGAACGGAAAGGCCCUGCUUUUGUGGGGUGCUCGAGUGGCGAACGGGUGAGUAACACGUGAGUAACCUGCCCUUGACUUUGGGGUAACUUCAGGAAACUGGGGCUAAUACCGGAUAGGAGAUCCUGCUGCAUGGUGGGGGUUGGAAAGUUUCGGCCGUUGUGGAUGGACUCGCGGGUUAUCAGCUUGUUGGUGGGGUAGUGGAUUACCAAGGCUGUGACGGGUAGCCGGCCUGAGAGGGUGACCGGCCACAUUGGGACUGAGAUACGGCCCAGACUCCUACGUGAGGCAGCAGUGGGGAAUAUUGCACAAUGGGCGGAAGCCUGAUGCAGCAACGCCGCGUGCGUGAUGACGGCUUUCGGGUUGUAAACCGCUUUCGCCUGUGACGAAGCGUGAGUGACGGUAAUGGGUAAAGAAGCACCGGCUAACUACGUG